UGAUAAACGAGGGUAAUGUGGACCAAACCGAUACAGCUUAUUCGAACCCUGUGGAACAGUUUAGUCUGUACCCAAAACUUCAAAGGCUGCUCGAAGACCCCAUGGACCCCUCCAUAGACAGCGUCUUUGCGAAGGCAACUAGACAACUCCACAGAGCGUGUCUAUCGUCAACUAAGGAUGCCAGCGACACAGCGCUGACUGAGCUUCACUCGAUCCUCGAUCCCUUGGG
Molecule: long non-coding RNA, 229 nt
Organism: Mizuhopecten yessoensis (Yesso scallop)
Lineage: Eukaryota; Metazoa; Mollusca; Bivalvia; Pectinida; Pectinidae
Exons: 3
Source: RefSeq, a predicted model, not a curated record